This 217-nucleotide ribosomal RNA is filed under the name uncultured archaeon. Its description in RNAcentral is "partial 16S ribosomal RNA". It matches the Rfam family "Archaeal small subunit ribosomal RNA", at positions 462 to 673 of the family's 1478-position model. The record is from RNAcentral.
UAGCCACGGUAAUACCAGCUCUCCGAGUGGUGUGGAUGUUUAUUGGGCCUGAAGCAUCCGUAGCCGGCUGGGGCAAGUCCCCUGUUAAAUACCAGCGAUUCAAUCGUUGGAUUGCGGGGGGAGUACUGUCUGGCUAGGGGCGGAGAGAGGCCGACGGUAUUUUCGGGGUUAGGGGUGGAAAUCCUAUAAUCCCGGAAGGACCACCAGUGGCGAAGGC